ACGCUCGACACCUACGGGAGGCAGCAGUGGGGAAUAUUGCACAAUGGGGGAAACCCUGAUGCAGCAACGCCGCGUGAAGGAAGAAGGUUUUCGGAUCGUAAACUUCUAUCAAUAGGGACGAAAGAAAUGACGGUACCUAAAUAAGAAGCCCCGGCUAACUACGUGCCAACAGCCGCGGUAAUCUGAGCGGGCUGGCAAGGC
Molecule: ribosomal RNA, 201 nt
Filed under: uncultured bacterium
Lineage: Bacteria
Description: partial 16S ribosomal RNA
Rfam family: Bacterial small subunit ribosomal RNA
Source: RNAcentral